GUGAGGAAUAUUGGACAAUGGGCGCAAGCCUGAUCCAGCCAUGCCGCGUGCAGGAAGACGCAUCUAUGGUGUGUAAACUGCUUUUGUACGGGAAGAAACACUCCCUCGUGAGGGAGCUUGACGGUACCGUAAGAAUAAGGAUCGGCUAACUCCGUGCCAGCAGCCGCGGUAAUACGGAGGAUCCAAGCGUUAUCCGGAAUCAUUGGGUUUAAAGGGUCCGUAGGCGGUUUAAUAAGUCAGUGGUGAAAGCCCAUCGCUCAACGAUGGAACGGCCAUUGAUACUGUUAGACUUGAAUUACAAGGAAGUAACUAGAAUAUGUAGUGUAGCGGUGAAAUGCUUAGUUAUUACAUGGAAUACCAAUUGCGAAGGCAGGUUACUACUUGUGGAUUGACGCUGAUGGACGAAAGCGUGGGGAGCGAACAGGAUUAGAUACCCGUGUAGUCC
RNAcentral lists this ribosomal RNA (445 nucleotides) under uncultured bacterium. Its description in RNAcentral is "partial 16S ribosomal RNA". It matches the Rfam family "Bacterial small subunit ribosomal RNA", at positions 354 to 796 of the family's 1533-position model. The record is from RNAcentral.